Molecule: ribosomal RNA, 330 nt
Filed under: uncultured eukaryote
Lineage: Eukaryota
Description: partial 18S ribosomal RNA
Rfam family: Eukaryotic small subunit ribosomal RNA
Source: RNAcentral
CCCUUAGAUGUUCGGGGCCGCACGCGCGCUACACUGAAGGAAUCAGCACGUCUUUCUCCUUGUCCGAAAGGACUGGGUAACCCGCUGAACCUCCUUCGUGCUAGGGAUUGGGGCUUGUAAUUCUUCCCCAUGAACGAGGAAUUCCCAGUAAGCGCGAGUCAUAAGCUCGCGUUGAUUACGUCCCUGCCCUUUGUACACACCGCCCGUCGCUACUACCGAUUGGAUGGUUUAGUGAGAUCCUCGGAUUGGUCCCGGCGCGGCCUCUGGUCGUGCCGGAGUGCCGAAAAGAAUGUCGAACUUGAUCAUCUAGCGGAAGUAAAAGUCGUAACA